UUUCUAUCAAUUCAAUCCUUCUCUUUCUAAAUUCUAGCCAUUGUUUUGCAGAACGAAUUCUCCCCAAAAUCUUGUUUUCUCUGAAAAAAAAAAAAAAAGAAAGGGCGUCCUUCUACCAUUAUUCGCUUUUGCCUUUAGCCUAAUUCGUAUUUUCUUGUCAUCAAUAGUGGAGAAGAAAAUUCUAGAAGUUGCAACAAUUAGUUUGGGUAUGUUCUUCUUAUAAUUUUUCUUUUUUGUGCAUUUCUUUUUUUAUUUUCUUACUGUUUAUUUAAGGUACGUAGUUUUCCUUUGUUUGUAGAUGAAAAUCUAGCUGGGUUCGUCUUCCUUUAGCUCCAUAUAAGGUAUGUUCUCGUUUCUGUAGAUGCAUGAAAAUAUAUCUACGUUUACAUAUUCGUAGUUCAUGAGGUUGAAGGUCAUGAAUUUUCGCUGUUUCGAAGCUGGUGAGGAAUCAACUAUCAUCAUUCAUAGCCAACUUCGACAAUUUAAAAUCACUAUUUCACUCCAUUUUUCAUUCACUGUAGAAGAAAAUGAAAUUGCACUGGACGAAAAAAAAUGUUAAUAGAGGGUGAAAAUUAUAUAGAUGUGUACAUACACAUUUACAUACAUACAUGUUUACGUGUGUGAGGAGAGGGGAUUACUUUUCUUCGUAUAGAAUAUAUUUUAUUUAAUUAGUAUAUAAUAAUAAAAUAGUAUCUGCCUUUACUAUAAGAGAGGAGAUUGUCCAAGUUAUUGUUUAUGUUUGGCAAAAUUUCAC
Molecule: long non-coding RNA, 754 nt
Filed under: Olea europaea subsp. europaea
Lineage: Eukaryota; Viridiplantae; Streptophyta; Magnoliopsida; Lamiales; Oleaceae
Source: RNAcentral